UACGUAGGGGCCUAGCGUUGUCCGGAAUUAUUGGGCGUAAAGCGUGCGUAGGCGGUUACAUAAGUCGGGUGUGAAAGCCCCGGGCUCAACCUGGGAAUUGCAUUCGAGACUGCGUAGCUAGGGUGCGGAAGAGGGAAGCGGAAUUUCCGGUGUAGCGGUGAAAUGCGUAGAUAUCGGAAGGAACACCAGUGGCGAAAGCGGCUUCCUGGUCCAGCGCUGACGUUCAGGCGCGAAAGCGUGGGGAGCAAACAGG
This 253-nucleotide ribosomal RNA is filed under the name uncultured bacterium. RNAcentral describes it as "partial 16S ribosomal RNA". It matches the Rfam family "Bacterial small subunit ribosomal RNA", at positions 524 to 776 of the family's 1533-position model. The record is from RNAcentral.